AGAUGGGCACGUCACCGGCGGAGCCAUGGCCACAUCACCUUGAAGCUUCUUCGGCCACUGCGAACUCGCCCUCUGUUCUCCUGGCCAUGGAAUUUGUGAUCGAUGACCUGUCCACCGUCGCGCGUGGGUGGUUCGCUGAACUCCAUAGGCGGGUCCAAACCCAACGCCGUCUCCAUCUGCGCCUCCCUCGCCAACGUGUUCGCCGACUUCGACCACUGGAUCCGCCCUCAAAAGGUGAGAGAUCCUCCUUCAUGUCCGCCAGGCUUCCCACGUCGUGUAGCACUCGUCGCGUUAGGAUUUAUGCAGAGAAGAGUGAUUGGGGGGUUGUCGGCGGGUGUACGGCGGCGCUUCGCCGCCGUCGGACUCGCCCAGCUCUGUAUGGAGGAUGGCGACGACCCUGGCAUCGUUGGAUUGAAAAAGGGUGGUCACGAUUAAAGUUAGUAGUAACCUGUUGGCCCCUCCGAUCCUAGCCGCCGAUCAAGCCGCCAACGACCAAGAUUAGACGGCCCUGUACCGUUUCAUCCGGGCGAUCUUGGGCCGUUGGAUCGAAAUCCAGUGACCCCGGGUGCGUACCGAUUCAUCAUUUAAUCUGGGCCGUCUAUUGUAAUCUGUGCGGCCGAGAUCCCACAAUACCCUUUCGGCUGCGUAAUAUUGCAAAAGAGUCCCUGAUUAGUUUAAAAAUAAACCCGCCAUCCUAUGCGGCUGUACACUGAGUCUUGAAAUAUUUGCGACGUAGUCCCUGUGUUUUCUGUAAAUGGUGCGCUCGGUCCAGAGAGCAGGAAAUCAAAGGAAUUCAUUUAGAAAAUACAUUUUUUUUGUGAGAAUAAUUAUAGAAACUUAAUUAAUUCCUAGAAAAUGCAUUUUAACUCCUUUUAAUCUAUCCCAGUCCCUAUAAUUUUGUAUUAAUAUUGUUUAAUACUUAGUGUCUCUGUUUUAACACGAAAAUGGUAUUAAAAUUUAUUUCUUAGCUAAUCUCGUAUCAAAUACAUAAAACCUUAGGAAAUUUGUAUCUCCUCCAUUUUAACUCCGAUUUGAUCCGUUCAAGUUCCGUUAGUCUCGUAGCAACGCGUAGAUUAUUAUUAUGCAGUUUCUCUUAUGUUUGAUGUAAUGUUAAUUUUGUCUAUACCGUAUCUGUUUGUAUUGCUACGACUAGCAGCGAGGUUUCGAGUCACCUGAAGAUCACCCUGGUAACUGGAAUCUCAAGUGCCAGGCAAGUUGUGCCCUUGAUCACUUACUUUUCCCAGCCAUGUUCUUAUUAAUUAUAAUGAUCUGCAUAGGUUAAUUUUGAUGGGACCUAAUAGGUUACCCUAGUUUUGGCUAUCUUUAUACCUUGUUUACCACUGAAAUAUUUUUGGGUAGUACCUGCUAUUGCUUUAUGUGGAUCUGGGUAUGAAGAUACUUUAUUCAUAAUUACUCUUUUAUUCUCUUUUAUUAUUACUGUUCAUGUUAAGAUCAUUAUGUUAAUGGGAACAUGGAGCGACCACCCGGGAAAACAGUGCUACCACAAGGGUUUAAUGGGACGCCCUUGGAUGAUUAACUAGGAAAGCUAGUGGAGGUCUUCCUUACCCGAAAGGGGCAAGGGCAGUAGGGGAGUGGUCAGUGUAGGGAGGUCCUUGGGUUGAUUUUGCUGCGAUGGCGGUCAGACAAGAACCCUGCACUGGAGCUUCCUAUAAACUGUAGCGGGAUUUCUGAAGCUAGUGGAACUUUGUAAAGGCCUCGUAGUGUUAUCCUGCCUCGCCUCCUCGGUAGAGGUGUAUGGGAUUGGCCAUCUCUUGGCAGAUGGGUAACAUGACUUGUGGGUAAAGAUGCGCAACCUCUGCAGAGUGUAAAACUGGUAUACUAGCCGUGCUCACGGUCAUGAGCGGCUCGGACCCUCACAUGAUUAAAUAUGGAACUUAAAUUUAAUUUGACAUUUGCAUCACAUUUGGGAUUAUUUUACUAUUACUGUUCUUUAUUAUUAUUAAGGUUUGGUAUUUACUUACACUUAGUAAUUGCUAAUAAAAUUUUGACCAACUUCUAAAAGCAAUGCUCAGCCUCAGCCUUUACUUCAUUGAUUAGCCUUACACUUCAUGAACUCCCACCUUUUGUGAGUUCAUGCCACAUUAUUCCCCACAACUUGUUGAGCGAUGAACGUAUGUGAGCUCACUCUUGCUGUCUCACACCCCCCCACAGGAGAAGAACAGGUGGUUCAGGAGGAGCCACAAGGCGAGGAGUAUGAUCUGAUCUAGGUGGUGUUUCUCAGUCGACAUUGGCGCCGACGAUCCUUAGUUCGUUUUAUAUUUACUCUUUUAUUUUGUAAUAAGACUUCCGCUAUGUAAUAAAUACUCUGAUGAUUGUGACAUUUAUCUCUAUACACUCUGUGAUUAUAUAUGUUGUCUUCUUUGGCGCAUGUAUGAGAUGCACCCGGCUUUGUCCUUUAAAACCGGGUGUUACAGAAGUGGUAUCAGAGGAAAUGUUGACUGUAGGACGAAACCUAGAUAGAAAUGGACAACCCUUACCUACUUAUCUUAUUCUGAUUCAUUCUACACUUACCUUACUCUGAUUCUUUCUACACUUACCUUGAUCCUGUCUCACCUUCUACUGUUCUACUCUGAUCAUUCUUACCUUUUCUAUUCUAAGACAAGAUGGAUUUCACACCUUGGAAUCCCUACCCCUAUGACAUUUUUAAGAGAUAGGAGACCUAAAAAAAUUUUAUUUUCUCUAUUAAAAAUGUUGGUUGAUUGUUCUGCUGAUCAAUGCCUGAUUUGCUUCUUUGAUUGAUUGAAGUAUUAUAUAUGGACAUCUUAGUAUGUGCCAGCAUAAGGUAAUAAAUUAGCUAUGGUAGGUAAAACAUUAAACUGCUUAGCUAAUAAAUCCCCCAAAGUAACAUGAUUGUAAUUACUCGCCUUGUCUACAAUUCUUCCUUUCUUACCCUAUAUUCCUAACCCAAAUGUGCUACCCCUAUACUGUUAGAAGAGAGCAGUAUAGAUUUGAUCCUUGGUAUGUCAUGGUUAAGAAAGGCAAAGCAGUAUAUACACUGUGCUAAGGGAACCGUAGAACUCACCAGUUCCAAAGAACAAAGAUUUGAAGUUGAGUUGGUCAUUGAUCUCUUACCUGAAACUGCUCCUAUUUCUAAACGGCUAUACAGAAUGUCCGUAGAAGAAUUAAAAGAACUUAAGAAGCAGUUAACUGAGUUACAGGAGGCGGGGUACAUUCGUCCGAGUUCCUCACCUUGGGGAGCACCGGUUCUGUUUGUACAGAAGAAGGAUGGAUCAAAAAAAAUGUGUGUGGAUUAUAGAUCUCUCAACGAUGUUACUGUGAAGAAUAAGUAUUCGUUGCCCCGUAUUGAGGAUUUAUUUGAUCAGAUGAGAGGUGCAAGGGUAUUCUCGAAGAUUGAUCUCCGAUCGGGUUAUUAUCAAAUGAAGAUUAGGCCAUCGGAUAUUCCCAAGACGGAUUCCUCGACCCGAUGUGGUUUAUAGGAGUUCACCGUUAUGUCAUUUGGAUUAACUAAUGCACCAGGCUAUUUUAUGGAUCUGAAGAAUAAGGUGUUUAUGGAGAAUUUGGACAGAUUCGUCGUGGUAUUCAUCGACGAUAUUAUUAUUUAUUCCAAGAGUGAUAGUGAUCAUGAGGAACAUCCGAGAUUGGUGCUACAAAAGCUACGAGAUAAUCAACUCUACACCGAGUAUAGCAAAUGCGAGUUUUGGAUCGGUGAGGUACCAUUCCUUACAUGUCAUUUCUAAUGGAGGAAUAUCAGUGGAUCCUGCUAAAGUCAAGGAGAUAGUGGCGUGGAGCAUACCCACUAUAGUUACUGAGGUCCGGAGUUUCUUGGGGCUUGCAGGCUAUUAUCGGAGAUUUAUUGAAGGGUUCUCUAAGAUUGCCAAGCCUAUGACCUCACUUUUGGAGAAAGGAAGAGAAUUCAAGUGGAAUGAGAAAUGCCAAGAUAGCUUUGAUCAAUUAAAGAAGAGGUUGAUGUCAUCACAAGUGUUGGUUAUGCCAGAUCUACAGAAGGGAUUUGACAUUUAAUGUGAUGCAUGUGGCCAAGGCUUGGAAUGUGUGCUCAUGCAAGAAGGACAUGUGAUUGCCUACGUGUCUCGUCGGUUGCGGAAACACGAGUUGAACUACCCCACUCAAGACUUAGAACUGGCAGUCAUUGUGCAUGCGCUUAAGAUUUGGAGACAUUAUAUUAUGGGAACCGAGUGUCAAGUAUACACGAAUCAUAAGAGUUUGAAGUAUAUAUUCACUCAAAAGGAUCUCAACCUUAGGCAACACCGUUGGUUGGAGCUUAUUAAGGAUUAUGAUUUGGAGAUUCACUAUCACCCGGGCAAGGCAAAUUUGGUUGGAGAUGCCUUGAGUCGAAAGGAGCAUGUUCAUUCGGCUGUUGUUGCCCAGCUACCCGAUGAGAUUGUUGAGGAUUUUAGGAGACUUAACCUGGGGAUAGUAACUGCUCACACUGAAGAAGUUAUAUUGAUGUGGAACCUACCUUGGAGCAAGAAAUCCACAGAAGGACAGAUUGAUGAUGCUAAGAUACAAGAGAUUAAGGAUUUGAUUACUGAAGGUCGAGGUCCGGAAUUCACGAAGGAUGAGCAAGGCACAAUAUGGUUCAAGGAUAGGAUAUGUGUGGCUGAUAUUGAAAGCCUUCGUGAGACUAUUUUAAAGGAGGCCCAUGACUUGGAUUAUUCUAUUCAUCCUGGUAGUACUAAGAUGUAUCAGGAUUUGAGGCAGAAGUACUGAUGGUAUGAAUUGGAGAGAUAUGUGGCUACACAUGUGGCUAUGUGCGAUGUGUCAAAGAGUUAAGGCUGAACACCAAAGGCCAGCUGGACUAUUGCAUCCACUGAAGAUACCCGAGUGGAAAUGGGAAGAGAUCGGUAUGGAUUUUAUUACUGGAUUGCCUCGCACACAGAAAGGAUAUGAUGCUAUAUGGGUGAUUGUGGAUAGAUUGACUAAAGUGGCUCACUUUAUUCCUGUCAAGACUACUUAUAAGGUAUCUCAAUCGGCAGAGUUAUAUAUCGCUCGGAUUGUGUCUCUACACGAUGUACCAAAGAAGAUCGUUUUGGAUAGAGGAUCACAAUUUACCUCAAGAUUUUGGAAAAGUUUUCAAGAGAAUGUGGAUACGAAGUUGAAUGUUAGUUCGGCCUACCUCAGACUGAAAGGACUAAUCAAGUAUUGGAAGACAUGUUGAGAGCUUGUGCUCUUCAGCAUGGUAGUAGUUGGGACAAGAGUCUACUUUAUGCUGAGUUCUCAUAUAAUAAUAGUUACCAGGCUAGUCUAAAAGAUGUCACUGUUCGAGACUCUGUAUGGCAAGAAAUGCAGGACUCCUCUAUUUUUGGACCAGACUAGAGGAAGACAAUUCUUUGGGCCUGAACCUAUUCAAGAGGCAGAAAAAAAAACCAAGUCCGUAUAAUUCGGGAGAACUUGAGGGUAGCUCAAACCAGGAAAGAGAGCUAUGCUGAUAAUAGAAGGAGACCAUUGGAAUUUGAGGAAGGUGAUCCUGUGUACCUCAAGGUGUCACCACUUCGUGGAAUGAGGAGAUUUAAAGUUAAGGGCAAAUUGUCCCCUCGCUAUAUUGGACCAUUCAGAGUUUUUAGGCAAGUUGGAGAGAUGGCCUAUCAACUCGAGCUACCUGAUAAUCUAUCUGAUGUGCAUAAUGUGUUCCAUGUGUCUCAACUUAAGAAGUGUCUUCGUGUCCCUGAGGAACAGUUACCAAUGGAAGAGCUCAGCGUUCAUGGUGAUUUGAUUUAUACGGAGUAUCAUGUCAAGAUUAUUGAUACUUUGACACGAGUUACAUGAAAUAAGGUGAUAAAGAUGUGCCAAGUGCAAUGGAGUCACCACGGGGAAGAUAAAGCUACGUGGGAGAGAGAAGAAGAGCUUCGCAUAGAUUUUCCCCAUCUUUUCCCUAGUCCUUCCUAAAUCUCGAGGACGAGAUUCUUUGUAAGGGGGGUAGGAUUUGUAAUAUCCACUUUUGUAAUCAGAGUAUAAAGAAAAUUAUAUUCCUGUAUACAUAUGUGUGUCAUCCAAGUUUAUCAUUUCAUGAGCACAUCACAUAUAACAAACAACUAAAUGACAAAAGGCACUUAAAUAAAAUAUACAUCAUGCUGGGAUUUAUUGUGUGUGUGCAUUUGGUGACAUAAAUAAAUCAACAUUCAAAUUGAGGAUUUAAUACCUACUUUGAAUAAAUAGAAUAGAAGGAGAGAAAUACUAUAAAAUACAAAAUAAAACUUAUAAAAAAAUCAUAUUGGCAAGUUCAAAUUUAAACCUAACCCAAGGAAAAAUUUUCCACAAAAAGAAUUUCUUUUAGAAUUAAAGUUUUUGAAUUUGGAAAGGAAUGAAAGAAUAACAAAUAAAAAAAAAGAAAGCAGUCUUCGGCCGAGUGGGCCUCUAUUCCAUGCUUUCGGCCCAUCUUCGGAUCCAGCUCACGUAGCCCAACUCCAUUUUGCCACCAAACAUCUCCACCGCGCGACCUGCUUCUCUUUUGGGCAUGCGGACCUCGCAACUCAGUCUCCUGGCGCGCGCAUAGUACCAUUACCAUUUCACUGACAGGUAGGCCCAUCUGCUCAGCUUCGUCAACAAACUCGCGGAGGAAGCGCGGUCUGGUGCGAUCUCGCCGGAAUCCGUUGACUGGCUUCGGACCGAGCUCGGCCCUUGGUGGUAUAAAAAAAAGAAGACGUUCUCGCCAGCCUAGCUCUAUCCUACACGCGCGCGCGCCGCAUCCAUUUCCCAUGCCGCUGACGAAUGGGUCUGCGCUGGCAGGCUUCGUCCCCAACUGAUUUUCGCCAUCCGCGCGCGGGUAUGGUCAAGAUCCGCUCGACCGGUCUUCUCCAUGCUCGCAUUGGGGUGAAGCUAAUCCCGCAUCCAUCGCGGGCUCAACUGGUCAGCGCAACAGAUGACGCCGAUCCCGCGCUGGCCGUCGUGGCUUCCGCUGCGGACCAACUACCUGAACCGCGUAUCGCUGCAGCGAAGUCCGCCCCAGCAACAGCUCUUCUUCUCAGCCGGAAGAUUAGGCCAGGUUGUUGGGUCGCCCGGCAAUCGCGCUAACCACAGCUACACCUCGUCGCAGCUUCAAAAGCGGACAGGCCCCUGGUUCUUCCCCAAGUCGCGCGCACCUAGCAUCCCUUGGCCACACCAAAUCCGACCCUGAGCCAAACCAGUAAAGUGCUGUGUGUUUGUCACGGACAGCAGUGAGAGAAAGCGAGGAGACAUGGACUGGGGGAAGCCGCCUCCGUCAUUCAUCGUCCACAAUGCCGAUGGGGCCUGGGGUCAAUUGCUUGCUGGUGAUGAUGCUUCGUCGGGGGACCGCACCGAUCCGCAGAUGGGGUAUCGCCGCGCUAUGCACUGGUAUUCUCCCUUCUUGUUCGUGCCCCACAUUUCGCCCUCGUUUGCCCUCGGUAAUGCUCGGAUCCGGCCCUUGAAGCUCAGAUGGGCACGUCACCGGCGGAGCCAUGGCCACAUCACCUUGAAGCUUCUUCGGCCACUGCGAACUCGCCCUCUGUUCUCCUGGCCAUGGAAUUUGUGAUCGAUGACCUGUCCACCGUCGCGCGUGGGUGGUUCGCUGAACUCCAUAGGCGGGUCCAAACCCAACGCCGUCUCCAUCUGCGCCUCCCUCGCCAACGUGUUCGCCGACUUCGACCACUGGAUCCGCCCUCAAAAGGUGAGAGAUCCUCCUUCAUGUCCGCCAGGCUUCCCACGUCGUGUAGCACUCGUCGCGUUAGGAUUUAUGCAGAGAAGAGUGAUUGGGGGGUUGUCGGCGGGUGUACGGCGGCGCUUCGCCGCCGUCGGACUCGCCCAGCUCUGUAUGGAGGAUGGCGACGACCCUGGCAUCGUUGGAUUGAAAAAGGGUGGUCACGAUUAAAGUUAGUAGUAACCUGUUGGCCCCUCCGAUCCUAGCCGCCGAUCAAGCCGCCAACGACCAAGAUUAGACGGCCCUGUACCGUUUCAUCCGGGCGAUCUUGGGCCGUUGGAUCGAAAUCCAGUGACCCCGGGUGCGUACCGAUUCAUCAUUUAAUCUGGGCCGUCUAUUGUAAUCUGUGCGGCCGAGAUCCCACAAUACCCUUUCGGCUGCGUAAUAUUGCAAAAGAGUCCCUGAUUAGUUUAAAAAUAAACCCGCCAUCCUAUGCGGCUGUACACUGAGUCUUGAAAUAUUUGCGACGUAGUCCCUGUGUUUUCUGUAAAUGGUGCGCUCGGUCCAGAGAGCAGGAAAUCAAAGGAAUUCAUUUAGAAAAUACAUUUUUUUGUGAGAAUAAUUAUAGAAACUUAAUUAAUUCCUAGAAAAUGCAUUUUAACUCCUUUUAAUCUAUCCCAGUCCCUAUAAUUUUGUAUUAAUAUUGUUUAAUACUUAGUGUCUCUGUUUUAACACGAAAAUGGUAUUAAAAUUUAUUUCUUAGCUAAUCUCGUAUCAAAUACAUAAAACCUUAGGAAAUUUGUAUCUCCUCCAUUUUAACUCCGAUUUGAUCCGUUCAAGUUCCGUUAGUCUCGUAGCAACGCGUAGAUUAUUAUUAUGCAGUUUCUCUUAUGUUUGAUGUAAUGUUAAUUUUGUCUAUACCGUAUCUGUUUGUAUUGCUACGACUAGCAGCGAGGUUUCGAGUCACCUGAAGAUCACCCUGGUAAUUGGAAUCUCAAGUGCCAGGCAAGUUGUGCCCUUGAUCACUUACUUUUCCCAGCCAUGUUCUUAUUAAUUAUAAUGAUCUGCAUAGGUUAAUUUUGAUGGGACCUAAUAGGUUACCCUAGUUUUGGCUAUCUUUAUACCUUGUUUACCACUGAAAUAUUUUUGGGUAGUACCUGCUAUUGCUUUAUGUGGAUCUGGGUAUGAAGAUACUUUAUUCAUAAUUACUCUUUUAUUCUCUUUUAUUAUUAUUGUUCAUGUUAAGAUCAUUAUGUUAAUGGGAACAUGGAGCGACCACCCGGGAAAACAGUGCUACCACAAGGGUUUAAUGGGACGCCCUUGGCUGAUUAACUAGGAAAGCUAGUGGAGGUCUUCCUUACCCGAAAGGGGCAAGGGCAGUAGGGGAGUGGUCAGUGUAGGGAGGUCCUUGGGUUGAUUUUGCUGCGAUGGCGGUCAGACAAGAACCCUGCACUGGAGCUUCCUAUAAACUGUAGCGGGAUUUCUAAAGCUAGUGGAACUUUGUAAAGGCCUCGUAGUGUUACCCUGCCUCGCCUCCUCGGUAGAGGUGUAUGGGAUUGGCCAUCUCUUGGCAGAUGGGUAACAUGACUUGUGGGUAAAGAUGCGCAACCUCUGCAGAGUGUAAAACUGGUAUACUAGCCGUGCUCACGGUCAUGAGCGGCUCGGACCCUCACAUGAUUAAAUAUGGAACUUAAAUUUAAUUUGACAUUUGCAUCACAUUUGGGAUUAUUUUACUAUUACUGUUCUUUAUUAUUAUUAAGGUUUGGUAUUUACUUACACUUAGUAAUUGCUAAUAAAAUUUUGACCAACUUCUAAAAGCAAUGCUCAGCCUCAGCCUUUACUUCAUUGAUUAGCCUUACACUUCAUGAACUCCCACCUUUUGUGAGUUCAUGCCACAUUAUUCCCCACAACUUGUUGAGCGAUGAACGUAUGUGAGCUCACUCUUGCUGUCUCACACCCCCCCACAGGAGAAGAACAGGUGGUUCAGGAGGAGCCACAAGGCGAGGAGUAUGAUCUGAUCUAGGUGGUGUUUCUCAGUCGACAUUGGCGCCGACGAUCCUUAGUUCGUUUUAUAUUUACUCUUUUAUUUUGUAAUAAGACUUCCGCUAUGUAAUAAAUACUCUGAUGAUUGUGACAUUUAUCUCUAUACACUCUGUGAUUAUAUAUGUUGUCUUCUUUGGCGCAUGUAUGAGAUGCACCCGGCUUUGUCCUUUAAAACCGGGUGUUACAGAAGUGGUAUCAGAGGAAAUGUUGACUGUAGGACGAAACCUAGAUAGAAAUGGACAACCCUUACCUACUUAUCUUAUUCUGAUUCAUUCUACACUUACCUUACUCUGAUUCUUUCUACACUUACCUUGAUCCUGUCUCACCUUCUACUGUUCUACUCUGAUCAUUCUUACCUUUUCUAUUCUAAGACAAGAUGGAUUUCACACCUUGGAAUCCCUACCCCUAUGACAUUUUUAAGAGAUAGGAGACCUAAAAAAAUUUUAUUUUCUCUAUUAAAAAUGUUGGUUGAUUGUUCUGCUGAUCAAUGCCUGAUUUGCUUCUUUGAUUGAUUGAAGUAUUAUAUAUGGACAUCUUAGUAUGUGCCAGCAUAAGGUAAUAAAUUAGCUAUGGUAGGUAAAACAUUAAACUGCUUAGCUAAUAAAUCCCCCAAAGUAACAUGAUUGUAAUUACUCGCCUUGUCUACAAUUCUUCCUUUCUUACCCUAUAUUCCUAACCCAAAUGUGCUACCCCUAUACUGUUAGAAGAGAGCAGUAUAGAUUUGAUCCUUGGUAUGUCAUGGUUAAGAAAGGCAAAGCAGUAUAUACACUGUGCUAAGGGAACCGUAGAACUCACCAGUUCCAAAGAACAAAGAUUUGAAGUUGAGUUGGUCAUUGAUCUCUUACCUGAAACUGCUCCUAUUUCUAAACGGCUAUACAGAAUGUCCGUAGAAGAAUUAAAAGAACUUAAGAAGCAGUUAACUGAGUUACAGGAGGCGGGGUACAUUCGUCCGAGUUCCUCACCUUGGGGAGCACCGGUUCUGUUUGUACAGAAGAAGGAUGGAUCAAAAAAAAAUGUGUGUGGAUUAUAGAUCUCUCAACGAUGUUACUGUGAAGAAUAAGUAUUCGUUGCCCCGUAUUGAGGAUUUAUUUGAUCAGAUGAGAGGUGCAAGGGUAUUCUCGAAGAUUGAUCUCCGAUCGGGUUAUUAUGAAAUGAAGAUUAGGCCAUCGGAUAUUCCCAAGACGGAUUCCUCGACCCGAUGUGGUUUAUAGGAGUUCACCGUUAUGUCAUUUGGAUUAACUAAUGCACCAGGCUAUUUUAUGGAUCUGAAGAAUAAGGUGUUUAUGGAGAAUUUGGACAGAUUCGUCGUGGUAUUCAUCGACGAUAUUAUUAUUUAUUCCAAGAGUGAUAGUGAUCAUGAGGAACAUCCGAGAUUGGUGCUACAAAAGCUACGAGAUAAUCAACUCUACACCGAGUAUAGCAAAUGCGAGUUUUGGAUCGGUGAGGUACCAUUCCUUACAUGUCAUUUCUAAUGGAGGAAUAUCAGUGGAUCCUGCUAAAGUCAAGGAGAUAGUGGCGUGGAGCAUACCCACUAUAGUUACUGAGGUCCGGAGUUUCUUGGGGCUUGCAGGCUAUUAUCGGAGAUUUAUUGAAGGGUUCUCUAAGAUUGCCAAGCCUAUGACCUCACUUUUGGAGAAAGGAAGAGAAUUCAAGUGGAAUGAGAAAUGCCAAGAUAGCUUUGAUCAAUUAAAGAAGAGGUUGAUGUCAUCACAAGUGUUGGUUAUGCCAGAUCUACAGAAGGGAUUUGACAUUUAAUGUGAUGCAUGUGGCCAAGGCUUGGAAUGUGUGCUCAUGCAAGAAGGACAUGUGAUUGCCUACGUGUCUCGUCGGUUGCGGAAACACGAGUUGAACUACCCCACUCAAGACUUAGAACUGGCAGUCAUUGUGCAUGCGCUUAAGAUUUGGAGACAUUAUAUUAUGGGAACCGAGUGUCAAGUAUACACGAAUCAUAAGAGUUUGAAGUAUAUAUUCACUCAAAAGGAUCUCAACCUUAGGCAACACCGUUGGUUGGAGCUUAUUAAGGAUUAUGAUUUGGAGAUUCACUAUCACCCGGGCAAGGCAAAUUUGGUUGGAGAUGCCUUGAGUCGAAAGGAGCAUGUUCAUUCGGCUGUUGUUGCCCAGCUACCCGAUGAGAUUGUUGAGGAUUUUAGGAGACUUGACCUGGGGAUAGUAACUGCUCACACUGAAGAAGUUAUAUUGAUGUGGAACCUACCUUGGAGCAAGAAAUCCACAGAAGGACAGAUUGAUGAUGCUAAGAUACAAGAGAUUAAGGAUUUGAUUACUGAAGGUCGAGGUCCGGAAUUCACGAAGGAUGAGCAAGGCACAAUAUGGUUCAAGGAUAGGAUAUGUGUGGCUGAUAUUGAAAGCCUUCGUGAGACUAUUUUAAAGGAGGCCCAUGACUUGGAUUAUUCUAUUCAUCCUGGUAGUACUAAGAUGUAUCAGGAUUUGAGGCAGAAGUACUGAUGGUAUGAAUUGGAGAGAUAUGUGGCUACACAUGUGGCUAUGUGCGAUGUGUCAAAGAGUUAAGGCUGAACACCAAAGGCCAGCUGGACUAUUGCAUCCACUGAAGAUACCCGAGUGGAAAUGGGAAGAGAUCGGUAUGGAUUUUAUUACUGGAUUGCCUCGCACACAGAAAGGAUAUGAUGCUAUAUGGGUGAUUGUGGAUAGAUUGACUAAAGUGGCUCACUUUAUUCCUGUCAAGACUACUUAUAAGGUAUCUCAAUCGGCAGAGUUAUAUAUCGCUCGGAUUGUGUCUCUACACGAUGUACCAAAGAAGAUCGUUUUGGAUAGAGGAUCACAAUUUACCUCAAGAUUUUGGAAAAGUUUUCAAGAGAAUGUGGAUACGAAGUUGAAUGUUAGUUCGGCCUACCUCAGACUGAAAGGACUAAUCAAGUAUUGGAAGACAUGUUGAGAGCUUGUGCUCUUCAGCAUGGUAGUAGCUGGGACAAGAGUCUACUUUAUGCUGAGUUCUCAUAUAAUAAUAGUUACCAGGCUAGUCUAAAAGAUGUCACUGUUCGAGACUCUGUAUGGCAAGAAAUGCAGGACUCCUCUAUUUUUGGACCAGACUAGAGGAAGACAAUUCUUUGGGCCUGAACCUAUUCAAGAGGCAGAAAAAAAACCAAGUCCGUAUAAUUCGGGAGAACUUGAGGGUAGCUCAAACCAGGAAAGAGAGCUAUGCUGAUAAUAGAAGGAGACCAUUGGAAUUUGAGGAAGGUGAUCCUGUGUACCUCAAGGUGUCACCACUUCGUGGAAUGAGGAGAUUUAAAGUUAAGGGCAAAUUGUCCCCUCGCUAUAUUGGACCAUUCAGAGUUUUUAGGCAAGUUGGAGAGAUGGCCUAUCAACUCGAGCUACCUGAUAAUCUAUCUGAUGUGCAUAAUGUGUUCCAUGUGUCUCAACUUAAGAAGUGUCUUCGUGUCCCUGAGGAACAGUUACCAAUGGAAGAGCUCAGCGUUCAUGGUGAUUUGAUUUAUACGGAGUAUCAUGUCAAGAUUAUUGAUACUUUGACACGAGUUACAUGAAAUAAGGUGAUAAAGAUGUGCCAAGUGCAAUGGAGUCACCACGGGGAAGAUAAAGCUACGUGGGAGAGAGAAGAAGAGCUUCGCAUAGAUUUUCCCCAUCUUUUCCCUAGUCCUUCCUAAAUCUCGAGGACGAGAUUCUUUGUAAGGGGGGUAGGAUUUGUAAUAUCCACUUUUGUAAUCAGAGUAUAAAGAAAAUUAUAUUCCUGUAUACAUAUGUGUGUCAUCCAAGUUUAUCAUUUCAUGAGCACAUCACAUAUAACAAACAACUAAAUGACAAAAGGCACUUAAAUAAAAUAUACAUCAUGCUGGGAUUUAUUGUGUGUGUGCAUUUGGUGACAUAAAUAAAUCAACAUUCAAAUUGAGGAUUUAAUACCUACUUUGAAUAAAUAGAAUAGAAGGAGAGAAAUACUAUAAAAUACAAAAUAAAACUUAUAAAAAAAUCAUAUUGGCAAGUUCAAAUUUAAACCUAACCCAAGGAAAAAUUUUCCACAAAAAGAAUUUCUUUUAGAAUUAAAGUUUUUGAAUUUGGAAAGGAAUGAAAGAAUAACAAAUAAAAAAAAGAAAGCAGUCUUCGGCCGAGUGGGCCUCUAUUCCAUGCUUUCGGCCCAUCUUCGGAUCCAGCUCACGUAGCCCAACUCCAUUUUGCCACCAAACAUCUCCACCGCGCGACCUGCUUCUCUUUUGGGCAUGCGGACCUCGCAACUCAGUCUCCUGGCGCGCGCAUAGUACCAUUACCAUUUCACUGACAGGUAGGCCCAUCUGCUCAGCUUCGUCAACAAACUCGCGGAGGAAGCGCGGUCUGGUGCGAUCUCGCCGGAAUCCGUUGACUGGCUUCGGACCGAGCUCGGCCCUUGGUGGUAUAAAAAAAAAGAAGACGUUCUCGCCAGCCUAGCUCUAUCCUACACGCGCGCGCGCCGCAUCCAUUUCCCAUGCCGCUGACGAAUGGGUCUGCGCUGGCAGGCUUCGUCCCCAACUGAUUUUCGCCAUCCGCGCGCGGGUAUGGUCAAGAUCCGCUCGACCGGUCUUCUCCAUGCUCGCAUUGGGGUGAAGCUAAUCCCGCAUCCAUCGCGGGCUCAACUGGUCAGCGCAACAGACGACGCCGAUCCCGCGCUGGCCGUCGUGGCUUCCGCUGCGGACCAACUACCUGAACCGCGUAUCGCUGCAGCGAAGUCCGCCCCAGCAACAGCUCUUCUUCUCAGCCGGAAGAUUAGGCCAGGUUGUUGGGUCGCCCGGCAAUCGCGCUAACCACAGCUACACCUCGUCGCAGCUUCAAAAGCGGACAGGCCCCUGGUUCUUCCCCAAGUCGCGCGCACCUAGCAUCCCUUGGCCACACCAAAUCCGACCCUGAGCCAAACCAGUAAAGUGCUGUGUGUUUGUCACAGACAGCAGUGAGAGAAAGCGAGGAGACAUGGACUGGGGGAAGCCGCCUCCGUCAUUCAUCGUCCACAAUGCCGAUGGGGCCUGGGGUCAAUUGCUUGCUGGUGAUGAUGCUUCGUCGGGGGACCGCACCGAUCCGCAGAUGGGGUAUCGCCGCGCUAUGCACUGGUAUUCUCCCUUCUUGUUCGUGCCCCACAUUUCGCCCUCGUUUGCCCUCGGUAAUGCUCGGAUCCGGCCCUUGAAGCUCAGAUGGGCACGUCACCGGCGGAGCCAUGGCCACAUCACCUUGAAGCUUCUUCGGCCACUGCGAACUCGCCCUCUGUUCUCCUGGCCAUGGAAUUUGUGAUCGAUGACCUGUCCACCGUCGCGCGUGGGUGGUUCGCUGAACUCCAUAGGCGGGUCCAAACCCAACGCCGUCUCCAUCUGCGCCUCCCUCGCCAACGUGUUCGCCGACUUCGACCACUGGAUCCGCCCUCAAAAGGUGAGAGAUCCUCCUUCAUGUCCGCCAGGCUUCCCACGUCGUGUAGCACUCGUCGCGUUAGGAUUUAUG
This 15082-nucleotide long non-coding RNA is filed under the name Zea mays. RNAcentral's name for it is "long non-coding RNA (ZMAY_LNC002912)". Lineage: Eukaryota; Viridiplantae; Streptophyta; Magnoliopsida; Poales; Poaceae. The record is from RNAcentral.